Symphalangus syndactylus (siamang) is the source of this 402-nucleotide non-coding RNA. The record is from the annotation of a RefSeq genome assembly. Lineage: Eukaryota; Metazoa; Chordata; Mammalia; Primates; Hylobatidae.
AUGAUGAUAUCCUUGAGAGUUUUACUGGUGAUCCUGUGGCUUCAGUUAAGCUGGGUUUGGAGCCAACGGAAGGAGGUGGAGCAGGAUCCCAGACCCUUCAAUGUUCCAGAGGGAGCCACUGUCGCUUUCAACUGCACGUACAGCAACAGUGUUUCUCAGUCUUUCUUCUGGUACAGACAGGAUUGCAGGAAAGAACCUAAGUUGCUGAUGUCCGUCUACUCCAGCGGUAACGAAGAUGGAAGGUUUACAGCACAGCUCAGUAGAGCCAGCCAGUAUAUUUCCCUGCUCAUCAGAGACUCCCAGCUCAGUGAUUCAGCCACCUACCUCUGUGCGGUGAACACACAGUGCUCCUCAGACACCUGCAGUCUGUACCCAAACCUGCUGGGCCCCAGGAAUGCCUGA